RNAcentral lists this unclassified non-coding RNA (405 nucleotides) under soil metagenome. Its description in RNAcentral is "partial contains 5.8S ribosomal RNA, internal transcribed spacer 2, and large subunit ribosomal RNA". The stretch from base 1 to 121 matches the Rfam family "5.8S ribosomal RNA", at positions 35 to 154 of the family's 154-position model. The record is from RNAcentral.
GAUGAAGAACGUAGCGAAAUGCGAUAAGUAAUGUGAAUUGCAGAAUUCAGUGAAUCAUCGAAUCUUUGAACGCACCUUGCGCCCUUUGGCCAUUCCGAAGGGCAUGCCUGUUUGAGUAUCAUGAACACCUCAACUCUUUAUGGUUUUCCAUGAUGAGCUUGGACUUUGGGGGUUUUGCUGGCCUAUGGUCGGCUCCUCUAAAAUAAAUCAGCUUACCGGUGUUUGGUGGGUAUCAUGGGUGUGAUAACUAUCUACGCUUGUGGUUUUUCCACCAGGUAACCUUCGACAGCGGAGGUUCACUGGAGCUCAUAGAUGUCUCUCCUCAGCGAGGACAGCCCUUUGAAUGUUUGAUCUCAAAUCAGGUAGGACCACCCGCUGAACUUAAGCAUAUCAAUAAGCGGAGGA